This 450-nucleotide ribosomal RNA is filed under the name uncultured bacterium. RNAcentral's name for it is "bacterial SSU rRNA". It matches the Rfam family "Bacterial small subunit ribosomal RNA", at positions 354 to 796 of the family's 1533-position model. The record is from RNAcentral.
GUGGGGAAUAUUGGACAAUGGGCGAAAGCCUGAUCCAGCCAUGCCGCGUGUGUGAAGAAGGUCUUCGGAUUGUAAAGCACUUUAAGUUGGGAGGAAGGGCAGUAAGUUAAUACCUUGCUGUUUUGACGUUACCGACAGAAUAAGCACCGGCUAACUUCGUGCCAGCAGCCGCGGUAAUACGAAGGGUGCAAGCGUUAAUCGGAAUUACUGGGCGUAAAGCGCGCGUAGGUGGUUUUGUAAGUUGGAGGUGAAAUCCCCGGGCUCAACCUGGGAACUGACUCCAAAACUGCAUGACUAGAGUACGGUAGAGGGUAGUGGAAUUUCCUGUGUAGCGGUGAAAUGCGUAGAUAUAGGAAGGAACACCAGUGGCGAAGGCGACUACCUGGACUGAUACUGACACUGAGGUGCGAAAGCGUGGGGAGCAAACAGGAUUAGAUACCCGGGUAGUCC